AAAAAUGUCUAAAAAAAGCACCGACAACAAUUUAUAUGUCGGUAAAAAAUGGCUACUUUUUUAAUUCAAAUAUUUACCUACAGAAUUUAUCGUUGGUAAUUACCUGUGACCUUUAGUGACACCAUAUUCAUCAGUAAUUUGUAGGAUUCAUAUUACAUCCAACGAAAUUGGUGAUGCCUCAAAGAUGAAUUUAGCAACGAAAUUAUUGUUAGUAAUUACCUA
Molecule: unclassified non-coding RNA, 222 nt
Filed under: Hevea brasiliensis (rubber tree)
Lineage: Eukaryota; Viridiplantae; Streptophyta; Magnoliopsida; Malpighiales; Euphorbiaceae
Source: RNAcentral